CCUACGGGAGGCUGCAGUGGGGAAUUUUGCGCAAUGGGCGAAAGCCUGACGCAGCAACGCCGCGUGGGUGAUGAAGGUCUUCGGAUCGUAAAACCCUGUCGUUGGGGACGAAGGUGGGGGCGUUAAUAGCGUUUCUGCUUGACGGUACCCGGAGAGGAAGCCCCGGCUAACUCUGUGCCAGCAGCCGCGGUAAUACAGAGGGGGCAAGCGUGGUGCGGAAGGAUUGGGGGUAGUGGUCGCGUUGGCGGGUGUAAUCCCCGAGCUCAACUUGGGAACUGCAUCUGAGAGUGGAAUGCUAGAGUACUGGAGAGGGUGGUGGAAUUCCUCGUGUAGCGGUGAAAUGCGUAGAGAUGAGGAGGAACACCAGUGGCGAAGGCGGCCACCUGGACAGUAACUGACGCUGAGGCGCGAAAGUGUGGGUAGCAAACAGGAUUAGAUACCCUAGUAGUC
This 450-nucleotide ribosomal RNA is filed under the name uncultured bacterium. RNAcentral's name for it is "partial 16S ribosomal RNA". It matches the Rfam family "Bacterial small subunit ribosomal RNA", at positions 338 to 795 of the family's 1533-position model. The record is from RNAcentral.